CCUACGGGAGGCAGCAGUGGGGAAUAUUGCGCAAUGGGCGAAAGCCUGACGCAGCGACGCCGCGUGAGGGAUGAAGGUCUUCGGAUCGUAAACCUCUGUCAGCAGGGAAGAACGGUCACUGUGCUAAUCAGCAGUGAAUUGACGGUACCUGCAACGGAAGCACCGGCUAACUCCGUGCCAGCAGCCGCGGUAAUACGGAGGGUGCGAGCGUUAAUCGGAAUUACUGGGCGUAAAGCGCUCGUAGGCGGUAUGUCAAGUCAAGGGUGAAAUCCCCGCGCUCAACGUGGGAACUGCCUUUGAAACUGGCAAACUUGAGUGUGUGAGAGGAGAGUGGAAUUCGAGGUGUAGCAGUGAAAUCCGUAGAUAUCAGGAGGAACAUCAGGGGCGAAGGCGACUAUCUGGCACAUAACUGACGCUGAGGAGCGAAAGCGUGGGUAGCAAACAGGAUUAGAUACCCUGGUAGUC
RNAcentral lists this ribosomal RNA (465 nucleotides) under uncultured bacterium. RNAcentral's name for it is "partial 16S ribosomal RNA". It matches the Rfam family "Bacterial small subunit ribosomal RNA", at positions 338 to 795 of the family's 1533-position model. The record is from RNAcentral.